RNAcentral lists this unclassified non-coding RNA (293 nucleotides) under Hevea brasiliensis (rubber tree). Lineage: Eukaryota; Viridiplantae; Streptophyta; Magnoliopsida; Malpighiales; Euphorbiaceae. The record is from RNAcentral.
ACGAGUGAACUAGAGCUUAAACCUCAAGGAAAGCUCACUAUUACCAUAGUAAAAGCAAGUGCUCUGAAAAAUCUGGAAAUGAUUGGUAAAUCUGAUCCUUAUGUUGUUUUGUAUAUACGCCCAAUGCUCAAAGUUAAGACAAAAGUGAUCGACAACAACCUCAAUCCUAUAUGGGAUGAGACAUUUGAGCUGAUUGUUGAAGACAAAGAAACACAAUCAGUCAUCUUUGAGGUUUACGACGAAGACAACGUACAACAUGACAAGAAGCUGGGGGUAGCCAAGUUAAUGUUGAG